GUGCUCACUUCGGCAGCACAUACACUAAAAUUGGAACAAUACAGAGAUUAGCGUGGCCUCUGCGCAAGUAUGACAUGCAAACUCGUGAAGCGGUCCAUAUUAAA
Molecule: small nuclear RNA, 104 nt
Organism: Balaenoptera musculus (blue whale)
Lineage: Eukaryota; Metazoa; Chordata; Mammalia; Artiodactyla; Balaenopteridae
Source: Ensembl